UUCAGAACGAACGCUGGCGGCAGGCUUAACACAUGCAAGUCGAGCGCACUCUUUUAGAGUGAGCGGCAAACGGGUGAGUAACGCGUGGGAAUCUACCCCUCUCUACGGAAUAACACAGAGAAAUUUGUGCUAAUACCGUAUACGUCCUAUUGGAGAAAGAUUUAUCGGAGAUGGAUGAGCCCGCGUUGGAUUAGCUAGUUGGUGAGGUAAUAGCUCACCAAGGCGACGAUCCAUAGCUGGUCUGAGAGGAUGAUCAGCCACACUGGGACUGAGACACGGCCCAGACUCCUACGGGAGGCAGCAGUGGGGAAUAUUGGACAAUGGGGGCAACCCUGAUCCAGCCAUGCCGCGUGAGUGAUGAAGGCCCUAGGGUUGUAAGCUCUUUCACCGGUGAAGAUAAUGACGA
RNAcentral lists this ribosomal RNA (406 nucleotides) under uncultured Bartonella sp. Its description in RNAcentral is "bacterial SSU rRNA". It matches the Rfam family "Bacterial small subunit ribosomal RNA", at positions 23 to 457 of the family's 1533-position model. Lineage: Bacteria; Pseudomonadati; Pseudomonadota; Alphaproteobacteria; Hyphomicrobiales; Bartonellaceae. The record is from RNAcentral.